AUUCAAUAAAAUAUUCUAUUUUCUUAUAAAACAAUAUUUAUAGAGUUACCGGUAAAUAAUUUUUGUAGCAUAAAAGCUUAAUAAAUUCAUACAUACUGUUAUACAGAUAACCAAAGUAUAAAAUUUAAUUUACAGUGACACGUGGGCCCACGAUGACCAAAAGUAUCAAAAGAGGUAAACGUACAGUUUUUUGAGGAUGCAAGUCCAACUGUAGUCCUCAACGAAAUGAACUAUCUACCGACUAGCCUAAGCCUGAAAUGGGUGGAAAUGAGGGUGGUGAGAUUAUAUAAUCCCAAUGAGUAAACAAAUACCAUCUAAAAUAUCUAAAGAUGAGUAAAUGGAGAUAAAUAAAAUAGUUUAACAUACUGUAAUUCAUCACCUUUCAACUCAUUUCAACCAAAUAAAAUCAAUUCAUAUAAAUCGAGCAAUCAACAUGGCUUAUGAAUUUCUUAAAACUUUGGCUUGUGCCAAAAUCAUUAUCAUACUCAGUUAUCAAGGAUACCUUGGUUGAGGGCUAUCCCAACUAAGACCGCCAAGGCUGUUAAAAAGUUAUGUACGCAUAAAUCAUGUUUUUAUUUUGAAAGCAUAGUCGUUCCUUGGUGUUGGUUGAGUUCACCCUCACGUGGUGGUUUGGCAUGAAGUGAACUCUAAAGUUUUAACCUUAAGAGUUAUCCAACCGCACCUUUCAUACUGAGGUAUGAAUAUAACAGGGUUACCGUGCCCUUCUGAUAGGCUAGUCCACAGAACCUCAUCCACAGCAGCGACCAAUUUAUAACCCACCAUACAACAAAAGUUGUGAUAACAUGACAUGGCAAUUAUUUUAUUUUACAGCCUCUCAAGGAAAAUUAACAGUUCAUACAUUUUCCACACAAAUACUAAUUCAGCCAUUCAUGCAAAUAUUAUCAUAAGCCAUUCAAUUCAAACCAUGAUUUAUAACACAGCAAUUAGUCUCCAAUUACUCCAUUUUCAAAACCAUAUUUCAAUUUCAAGACAAUUUUAUAAAAUCAUUUUCAUUUGAUCACAUUUUGCUCAUAAAACAUAAAGAUUUACCAUUUAAAUUCAUUUUCCAUAAAAUCACAAAAUUGGAUAAAAACCACUUUAGAUAAUUAAGACGAUAGUAAGGUUACUCACUAUUUCGGGAGUCGAAUUUCGAGUACUCCGAUUCUUGAUCCUCGAGUCUUUACUUUUGCCAGAAUGCUCACCACCUAGACAUAAUGCACAAUAAGCCAUUUACUACAUUUAUGCUAAAUUAUUAUAAAACCAAUUCAAGCUCUAUACUAAUGCAUGAAAUGGAAUGCAAAUUGUUCGGAUUAUCGUCUAAACAUGGUGUUCUACACAAAUUCAAUUGUGUACCUAAAUAAAACGGUAUUAGCCUAAUUCGAUCUAUCACCCGAUUAAUUGGCUAAUACGUCCAAUUUAAUGCCAAUUAACUCCAUUUUUCUCUAAUUCUCCAAACCAUCAAACACAAGUUAAAUAACUUGAAAUAUGGCAAAAUCAUCCUCACAUUUUCUCUUGGAAAAUUCGGCCAUGGUGGGUGCAUCAACUUUAUAAUUUUUCAAGCUUGAUUCUCACACCAUAAAUCACUAAUUCCUAACCAAAUCACUUGAAAUAAAAUCAAAACCAUCAUCAAUAUUCUACAUGGAGAAUUCGGCCAAUGAUGAACUCAUGAGGAAUAUGUGAAUUUCAAGCUUAAUUCUUACACUUAACACCAUAAACAACUAAAAACAUCCAUAUAUCGUAAAAAUCUAUCUAAAUCAUCAUCAAAUUCUCUCUGCUAGGGUUUGAUCAGCACACUAUCCUUCAUGAUAACUUGUGAUUCAACCAUGGAAAAUGCAAAAUAAUGCAUAGGAAAGGUAGAUCACAAGUCAAAAUCAAGAAAUUUUACCUUUGAUUGCUUGAUUACUUGAAAUCCACCAAUUUUCUUUUGAAUUUUCACCCUAGGGUUCUUGUUCUUUCUUUUCUUCCUUUGUUCUUGCUAUGGC
RNAcentral lists this long non-coding RNA (1982 nucleotides) under Theobroma cacao (cacao). RNAcentral describes it as "long non-coding RNA (TCAC_LNC001113)". Lineage: Eukaryota; Viridiplantae; Streptophyta; Magnoliopsida; Malvales; Malvaceae. The record is from RNAcentral.